AACAUUGAGCCUUGAUGUGUAGGAUAGGUGGGAGGCUUUGAAGCGUGGACGCCAGUCUGCGUGGAGCCAACCUUGAAAUACCACCCUUUAAUGUUUGAUGUUCUAACGUUGGCCCCUUACCGGGGUUGCGGACAGUGUCUGGUGGGUAGUUUGACUGGGGCGGUCUCCUCCCAAAGCGUAACGGAGGAGCACGAAGGUUAGCUAAUCCUGGUCGGACAUCAGGAGGUUAGUGCAAUGGCAUAAGCUAGCUUGACUGCGAGCGUGACGGCGCGAGCAGGUGCGAAAGCAGGUCAUAGUGAUCCGGUGGUUCUGAAUGGAAGGGCCAUCGCUCAACGGAUAAAAGGUACUCCGGGGAUAACAGGCUGAUACCGCCCAAGAGUUCAUAUCGACGGCGGUGUUUGGCACCUCGAUGUCGGCUCAUCACAUCCUGGGGCUGAAGUAGGUCCCAAGGGUAUGGCUGUUCGCCAUUUAAAGUGGUACGCGAGCUGGGUUUAGAACGUCGUGAGACAGUUCGGUCCCUAUCUGCCGUGGGCGCUGGAGAAUUGAGGGGGGCUGCUCCUAGUACGAGAGGACCGGAGUGGACGCAUCACUGGUGUUCGGGUUGUCAUGCCAAUGGCACUGCCCGGUAGCUAAAUGCGGAAGAGAUAAGUGCUGAAAGCAUCUAAGCACGAAACUUGCCCCGAGAUGAGUUCUCCCUGAGACUUUAAGUCUCCUGAAGGAACGUUAAAGACGAUGACGUUGAUAGGCCGGG
Molecule: ribosomal RNA, 751 nt
Filed under: Klebsiella pneumoniae
Lineage: Bacteria; Pseudomonadati; Pseudomonadota; Gammaproteobacteria; Enterobacterales; Enterobacteriaceae
Description: partial 23S ribosomal RNA
Rfam family: Bacterial large subunit ribosomal RNA
Source: RNAcentral